UUUCUACUCCCUCCGUCUGAAAAUACUUGUCAUCAAAAUGGAUAAAAAUAGAUGUAUCUAAAACUAAAAUACGUCUAGAUACAUUUCCUUUUAUCCAUUUUGAUGACAAGUUUUUCCGGAUGGAGGGAGUAUUUG
Triticum aestivum (bread wheat) is the source of this 135-nucleotide non-coding RNA. NCBI's taxonomy places the organism in Eukaryota, Viridiplantae, Streptophyta, Magnoliopsida, Poales, Poaceae. The record is from Rfam.